RNAcentral lists this ribosomal RNA (253 nucleotides) under uncultured bacterium. RNAcentral describes it as "partial 16S ribosomal RNA". It matches the Rfam family "Bacterial small subunit ribosomal RNA", at positions 524 to 776 of the family's 1533-position model. The record is from RNAcentral.
UACGUAGGUGGCAAGCGUUGUCCGGAAUUAUUGGGCGUAAAGCGCGCGUAGGCGGUCCUUUAAGUCUGAUGUGAAAGCCCACGGCUCAACCGUGGAGGGUCAUUGGAAACUGGGGGACUUGAGUACAGAAGAGAAGAGUGGAAUUCCACGUGUAGCGGUGAAAUGCGUAGAGAUGUGGAGGAACACCGGUGGCGAAGGCGACUCUUUGGUCUGUAACUGACGCUGAGGCGCGAAAGCGUGGGGAGCAAACAGG